UACGUAGGGGGCAAGCGUUGUCCGGAAUCAUUGGGCGUAAAGAGCGUGUAGGCGGUCCGGUAAGUCGGCUGUGAAAGUCCAGGGCUCAACCCUGGGAUGCCGGUCGAUACUGCCGGACUAGAGUUCGGAAGAGGCGAGUGGAAUUCCCGGUGUAGCGGUGAAAUGCGCAGAUAUCGGGAGGAACACCUAUGGCGAAGGCGACUUCCUGGCCUGUUCUUGACGCUGAGGCGCGAAAGCUAGGGGAGCAAACGGG
This 253-nucleotide ribosomal RNA is filed under the name uncultured bacterium. RNAcentral describes it as "partial 16S ribosomal RNA". It matches the Rfam family "Bacterial small subunit ribosomal RNA", at positions 524 to 776 of the family's 1533-position model. The record is from RNAcentral.